CGAAAGAUUGAUUCAGUUACUUAUUAGAAUGAUAUAAUAUAAAAAUUAUCUAUUUAUUUAUAUAAUAUAUAUUAUAUAAAUAAAUAAUAUAUAAUAAUAAUUAUAAAUUGAUUAAAAAUAAAAUUCAUAAAUAGUGAAAAUAAUGAUAUUAGCUACCAUAGGUAACCAUACUCCCCUUUUAAGGGGGGGGGUAUAGCUACCAUUAAAAUAUAUAAUGGAUAUAAUUUAUAUAUAAUGUAUAGAUUAUAUUUUAAUAGUCCUAACCAAGAUUUGUGCCAGCAGCUGCGGUAAUACAAUGAGGGCUAGCGUUAAUCAUAAUGGCUUAAAGGGUCCGUAGAAUUAUAUAUAAAAAUAUAUUAGAGUUAAUAAAUUUAAUUAAAGAAUUAUAAUAGUAAAGAUGAAAUAAUUAUAAUAAUUAUAAGACUGGUAUAUGUGAAAAUAUUAAUUAAAUAUUAACUGACAUUGAGGGACGAAAGCUAGAGUAUCAAUACGGAUUCGAUACCCGAGUAGUUCUAGCUGUAAACUAUGAACACCAUAUAAAUAAAUAAUUUAUUUAUAUAAAUGAAAAUGUAAGUGUUCCGCCUGAAGAGUACGUUCGCAAGAAUGAAACUCAAGACAAUAGACGGUUACAGACUUAAGCAGUGGAGCAU
RNAcentral lists this ribosomal RNA (650 nucleotides) under Zygotorulaspora florentina. RNAcentral describes it as "partial small subunit ribosomal RNA". The stretch from base 135 to 650 matches the Rfam family "Bacterial small subunit ribosomal RNA", at positions 1 to 940 of the family's 1533-position model. Lineage: Eukaryota; Fungi; Ascomycota; Saccharomycetes; Saccharomycetales; Saccharomycetaceae. The record is from RNAcentral.